Molecule: long non-coding RNA, 344 nt
Organism: Lolium perenne
Lineage: Eukaryota; Viridiplantae; Streptophyta; Magnoliopsida; Poales; Poaceae
Source: RefSeq, a predicted model, not a curated record
UUUCCUGCUAUGAACUAAUUGAUGACUCUUUUAUGCAUUUUCUUUUGUCGAGCAGCGUAUGGAAAACUUUCAUCAAGGAAGAUAAGUCCCAUGAAUGGCCACCGAAGCUGCGAUGGAAGGCGAAAAAAUGCCCGCAACAACCAGAAGGGACUGAUCUCUGUGGAUUCUUCGUUUGCGAGUACAUCCGCAGAAUUGUCAGCGAGAGAACGAAUAAUGAAAGAAAUAAAGAGUUGGCAAGAAAGCGGAACAAGCUCUCAAUCGAUGACCGCUUCAUAGCAAUAGGCGAGGAAUUGGCGGGAUUUUUCCUUCGGGACGUCAUACCACCAUUCGCAGAGUACCACUAU